Molecule: transfer-messenger RNA, 356 nt
Filed under: Pseudovibrio sp. Tun.PSC04-5.I4
Lineage: Bacteria; Pseudomonadati; Pseudomonadota; Alphaproteobacteria; Hyphomicrobiales; Stappiaceae
Description: Alphaproteobacteria transfer-messenger RNA
Rfam family: Alphaproteobacteria transfer-messenger RNA
About the family: Bacterial tmRNA, also known as 10Sa RNA or SsrA, is named for its dual tRNA and mRNA-like properties. Its role is to liberate the mRNA from a stalled ribosome.
Source: RNAcentral
GCCCUUCCAUUUAGGAAAGCCUGCACCUAUAUUCCCCGUGCCAGUUCGCUGGCUACGGCAAUAAAUUGUGAACGCAAUAAACCAUUCGGACCCGGGGGCGGUACCCGGCGCCUCCACCCAAGACCGUUGUACUCCAGCGGUCUUCGGGGGGGCGAAAUAGGAUCGACGAGGGUGUAAAGGUUUUACUUUUGCUCGGCAUGGUACCACCGAUAUCGGGCCAAAAUGAUAGUUGCAAAUGACAACUACGCUAUGGACAACGCUGUAGCUGCGUAAUGCAGUUCCGGUAGUCCGCUAAGUCCUGUUGGGUAGCACCUUCGGGCGGGGUUCGGAGGCACCUGGCAACAGAAGCCUCCACU